RNAcentral lists this ribosomal RNA (505 nucleotides) under uncultured bacterium. RNAcentral's name for it is "bacterial SSU rRNA". It matches the Rfam family "Bacterial small subunit ribosomal RNA", at positions 26 to 518 of the family's 1533-position model. The record is from RNAcentral.
AGGGCGAACGCUGGCGGCGUGCCUAACACAUGCAAGUCGAGCGGGGACAUGCGACGGAUAUGAAGUUUCGGAUGGAGUUGAAGAUGUAUGUUCUAGCGGCGGACGGGUGAGUAACGCGUGAACAAUCUGUCCUUCACAGGGGGAUAACACAGCGAAAGUUGUACUAAUACCGCAUGAGACCACGGUGAGGCAUCUUACAGGGGUCAAAGGAGCAAUCCGGUGAAGGGUGAGUUCGCGUCCGAUUAGAUAGUUGGUGAGGUAACGGCCCACCAAGUCGACGAUCGGUAGCCGACCUGAGAGGGUGAUCGGCCACAUUGGGACUGAGACACGGCCCAAACUCCUACGGGAGGCAGCAGUGGGGAAUAUUGGGCAAUGGGGGGAAACCCUGACCCAGCAACGCCGCGUGAGGGAAGAAGGUUUUCGGAUCGUAAACCUCUGUCCUAGGUGAAGAGAAAGAGACGGUAGCCUAGGAGGAAGCCCCGGCUAACUACGUGCCAGCCGCCGC